UACGUAGGGUGCAAGCGUUAUCCGGAAUUAUUGGGCGUAAAGAGCUCGUAGGCGGUUUGUCGCGUCUGCUGUGAAAACUGGAGGCUCAACCUCCAGCCUGCAGUGGGUACGGGCAGACUAGAGUGCGGUAGGGGAGACUGGAAUUCCUGGUGUAGCGGUGAAAUGCGCAGAUAUCAGGAGGAACACCGGUGGCGAAGGCGGGUCUCUGGGCCGUAACUGACGCUGAGGAGCGAAAGCGUGGGGAGCGAUCCGG
Molecule: ribosomal RNA, 253 nt
Filed under: uncultured bacterium
Lineage: Bacteria
Description: partial 16S ribosomal RNA
Rfam family: Bacterial small subunit ribosomal RNA
Source: RNAcentral